This 253-nucleotide ribosomal RNA is filed under the name uncultured bacterium. Its description in RNAcentral is "partial 16S ribosomal RNA". It matches the Rfam family "Bacterial small subunit ribosomal RNA", at positions 524 to 776 of the family's 1533-position model. The record is from RNAcentral.
UACGUAGGGGGCAAGCGUUGUCCGGAUUUAUUGGGCGUAAAGAGCUCGUAGGCGGUUUGUCGCGUCUGCUGUGAAAACUGGAGGCUCAACCUCCAGCCUGCAGUGGGUACGGGCAGACUAGAGUGCGGUAGGGGAGAUUGGAAUUCCUGGUGUAGCGGUGGAAUGCGCAGAUAUCAGGAGGAACACCAAUGGCGAAGGCAGAUCUCUGGGCCGUAACUGACGCUGAGGAGCGAAAGCAUGGGGAGCGAACAGG